Molecule: long non-coding RNA, 6095 nt
Organism: Symphalangus syndactylus (siamang)
Lineage: Eukaryota; Metazoa; Chordata; Mammalia; Primates; Hylobatidae
Source: RefSeq, a predicted model, not a curated record
AAAAAAAGGCUUAUUGACUCUUAGGGACCUUAUCUGAAAGUGAGAUGACCAUGUCUCCCUCCGCACAGGUCACCCAUCUCGCUAAAAACCUCCUGCUUUGGGGCUCAGGUUGGAAUGUCAGAAAUGUAUUAGUUGCCUUGAAUUUUGAAUACGUGUAAAGAAAGCAUCUCUCAUAGAAUGUACCUUCACCAAGAUGCAAUGAUUUCCUGCCCCAGUUGAGUGCUCUCCAAGAAACGUUGAUGAAACAUUUAUCAGAUGCGUGGAGUGAAGGUCAUAUGUAGCACACUUGGACAGAAAUAAGCUGGAUAAAGGAGGCAUCAUUCUCUAUGCAGUUCCCUAACUGAUCUGACCGUUCUAGGCAGCAGAAUCUUAAGAGCAAAAGCAAGGUUGGUCCUGCCAUGUUCGGGUGUUCAUCAAUAACAGCACAUAAAGAAGUUCUUUCAACUUAGGAUUUUAUGCAGAAACAGUGAAAUGAUUAACAUCUGAAGUAGCAACAAUGCCAUGUGUUUUCCAAAACUAUUUUAUUUUUCUCCUGGUUAUACAGGUAGAGUGUGAAUUGGAGUCUCCCUAUGGUUAAGUUGAAGUUAUGUGACUGUAUUCUGGACAAUAGAAAGUGGGUGUAAAUUAUAUUAAUUUAUGCCAGUUCCAGAUUUAGCCAUAAACCACCUGUGAGACCCUUCACAGUCUCUGUUCUCCAUCCACUGCGACCUUGGAAGCCAGGUUUUGAAGAUGCAUUAUUAGAAGAUGAAAGAGAUUGCAUCCCUGAGUGAUUCAUGAUCAUAGCAUUCCAUUCAUUACUCUAAACCAAGCUGCAAAUGAGCAUGGAGCUUCUGUUGGCUUAAUCCCCAAAAGCUGGAGUUGUAAAGGGCUUAGUCUUCCUCCAUAAUACAACUUAAUCCAAGUCUACUGAAAUAGAAGCAUAUUUAUAUUCUAUAAAGUUAACAUAAGCAUAACUUGAUACUAUAGAGAGAAGUUUUAAUAUUAAUAGCCAAUCUGUCAUUACUAAACAACUGGUGAAAAAUAAGCCAGUGAGGCCGGGCACGGUGGCUCAUGUCUGUAAUCCUAGCACUUUGGGAGGCCGAGGUGGGGGGAUCGCUUGAGGUCAGGAGUUCGAGGCCAGCCAGACCAACAUGGUGAAACCCCAUGUCUACUAAAAAUACAAAAUUUGCCAGGUGUGGUGGCAUAUGCCUGUCAUCCUAGCUACUCGGAAGGCUGAGGCAGGAGAACAGCUUGAACCUGGGAGGCGGAUGUUGCAGUGAGCUGAGAUGGUGCCAGUGCACCCCAGCCUGCAACAAAAGCGAAAUUCCAUCUAAAAUAAUAAUAAUAAUAAAAUAAAUAAGCCAAUGAGGUCUGUUGCAUCAUACCUGUUCUGAUUUGAAUAGCAUGUCCCUUUUCCAAAAUUUCCCACCAUCUGCAGAGUAUUGUAUUCAGGUUCAACACAAGCUGGUAAGGCACCUAACUACCUUGUAACCAGUUUCAUAAUAAUUAUUAUUUUCUCCCUGAAAAUAGCCUGCUUUGGACACAGGUGCUCCACUGAAUUUUUUUUUUUUCUUUGAGACGGAGUCUCACUCUGUCGCCCAUGUUGGAGUGCAGUGGCGCGAUCUCGGCUCACUGCAAGCUCCGCCUCCCGGGUUCAUGCCAUUCUCCUGCCUCAGCUUCCCGAGUAGCUGGGACUACAGGCACCUGCCACCACGGCCGGCUAAUUUUUUGUAUUUUUAGUAGAGAUGGGUUUUCACCAUGUUAGCCAGGAUGGCCUCGAUUUCCUGACCUUGUGAUCCGCCCGCCUCAGCUUCCCAAAGUGCUGGGAUUACAGGCGUGAGCCACCGCGCCCGGCCUCCCACUGAUUUUUCUGAGGAUGCCUCUGUGAUGUCAUACAAUGUGCCAAUUUCCAUCUUAUGUCCUAAAAUCCAUCACCCUACUUUUGAGAAAUAUUGUCACUCUGUAGCUAACUCUCUGCUCUAAGAACUCAACGUCCCCAAGCCAACUUCCCGAGUUCCUGCUGGUAUUCUCUAUUCUUUCCGCUGCACAAUGGGACAUGUGGUUUUAUUCCCUGAAAAGUCACUUCUGGAUGGAUCCAGUCUGAAGAUGGUUCUCCUGCUGUAUAGAAACCUGGAUGUCGUGAAAUUGCCUACGGGCAGCUAUUAAACAGCCUCCCUGAAUUUAGCAGAUUAGGAUUUUAGUGAAAAAUUACCACAUGGCCACUGCUUGUGGGUAGAGUGUUCUUCAGAAAAAACGUUAAGGGUUAAAGACCGCAAGUCAUGAAAUGGACGUGACAAGAUGAAUGUCACUGCGUCAUUUCCCAAGCCACGAUCACCAUAGUUCACCAGAACUUAAAUACAGCAGAUGAUAUUUAUAGUCGUUGGUGUAACACCUUGCCUUCAGGGUGGUGAGGUUCCGCUUUGAGAUGUAUUCCAGAAUGUCACAAUGUUAAGGGGUCCUAGGUGUUGUUAAUAUCAAUUUUAUAAUUUUUAAGACAAAGAAAGUGAAGCAUGUUGAAGGCAAGAGAAAUACUAAUGGUGUCAAGUUGGUAUUUUAGAGAGAAGCAGUCAUUUCAUUAUCAGUUAUUACCUAUGCUGGUUGUGCAAAUUUAAGCAAAUUAUUACACUCAGUAGGUGCCAUUUUCUGUGUCCAUAGACAGUGGGGGCUGUUUGACUCAGAGCUGUGCCCAUGUUUGCAUUAAAGGCAUUUUUACAUUUGUAUGCAUUGGUACGAGUUGUCUGUUUCUUUUGCCCAUUUUCAUCCUUUUCUUUCAUUUUCUCCAUGUCUUCGAAUUUUCACAUUAAUUUACAUAGAAGUCGGCAUAGUAGUCUCACAGUUUUUAAAAAAAUCUUCUGUUUUAAUGGUGAUCCUCUUGUAAUUUCUUAUUUUCUGUCUUUGUGCUUUCUCCCCGCUUUUUCUUCAUUAAGUGGUUAGCUACUUUUUUUCUUAUUUUCAAAAAAUAUCCUUAAAACAUAUGAUUUGGUUUAUUAAUUAGAUCUAUAGUUAUUCUCUUCCCUAACUUAUUGAUUUCUGGUCUUCCCUAACUUACUGAUUUUUUACGUUUAUGAAUCCUUUCUUAAGUUUUUUUGUUUGUCUGAAUUCACUGUUAUUUUUCUAAAUUUUUGAGUUGGAGAUUUAAUAAACUUAUUUAUAUUUUUCUAUUUUAUUGAAAUUUUUCAUGCUAUGAAUUUUCUUCUGGUUCUGAUUUAAAUGUGGCUCUUAGAUUCUGGAUUUUAUUUUAUUCUAUUAUUAUUAUUAUUAUUAUUUUCUGACAGACUCUCUCUCUGUCACCGAGGCUGGAAUGCAGUGGUACGAUUUUAGCUUACUGCAACCUCUGCCUCCAGGGUUCCAGCGAUUCUCCUGCCUCAGCUUCCCGAGUAGCUGGGAUUACAGGCACCCGUCACCAUGCCUGGCUCAUUUUUGUAUUUUUAGUAGAGAUGCGGUUUCACCAGGUUUGCCAGGCUGGUCUUGAACUCCUGACCUCAGGUGAUCUACCCACCUCUGCCUGCCAAAGUGCUGGGAAUACAGGCAUGAGCCACUGUGGCUGGCGCCCUCCAUCGUUCUUUUUGUUUGGUUUGCAUCGUAGUUUGCGAAGUGUGGUUCUCCUUUCCUAAUUAGCCUCUAUUCCUCUGAAACAUUGUUUUCCCAACACUGCCUUCUCCAAUUCAGCACAUGUUUUUAAUUCUCUUUACUGUAGUUAGGACUCUGAGCUUCCCGUUCUCUCUGUCAUUAUUUUCACUUGUAUGGUGGGUGUGAUUUCAGUUCAAUCUUGGCUCUCCAUCCCUCUUCUUCUUCUCCUGUGACUCUAGACCCUCCUUAUUCUUGUCAAAAGCUCAGGAUGGGAAAUAGGAAAAUAGUUCUGCUAGAGGGUGGUAUUUAUUUUCAAAUCACAGUUAUUUAACUUUAUAGUUUUAUGUGUGUCAUCAAAUUAUGGUAAAGGAUGGUAUUUGUGUGGUUUAUUUGUUCCUGUUUAUCUUUUUUUUUUUGAAAUGGGGUCUCACUGUGUCACCCAGGUUGGAGUGCAUUGGCAUGAUCUUGAGUCACUGCAUCCUCCGCCUCUCAGGCUCAGGUGAUCCUCCCACCUCAGCCUUCUGAGCAGCUGGGACCACAGGCAUGCCACCACCAUACUUGGCUAAUUUUUGUAUUUUUUGUAGAGAUGGGGUUUUGCCAUCUUGGCUAGGCUGAUCUCAAACUCCUGACCUCAAGAGAUCCUCCCGCCUCAGCCUCCCAAAGUGCUGGGGUUACUGGUGUGAGCCACCACACCUGGACUGUUCUUGUCUCUCUUUAUAGAGUUGUGAGAAGAUGCUAGGAGAUUCUAGCUGCCAUUGACUCAGCGGCAUGGAAAUUGCUUUUCUUUGUUAAUACAUUAAUUAUGUAUGAUUAGUUAUUGAUUAUUCAUGUUAAAAUAUUUUGCGUCAAAUAUUUCUCUUUCCAGGCAGGACUGGCUGUCUAAUAGGUGCAGCCCUGUGACAAUGAAAGUUCAGGACCCCUUCCUAAAAAGUGGUUAAGAAUUUCAAGAUGGCAAAAGUAGAGCAUCAGGCCAGGCACAGUGGCUCCCACCUGUAAUCCCAACACUUUGGGAGGCCGAAGUGGGUGGAUCUCUUGAGGUCAGGAGUUUGAAAGCAGCCUGGCCAGCAUGGUGAAACCCCAUCUCUACUAAAAAUACAAAAAUUAGCCAGGUGUAGUGGUGCGUGCUUGUAAUCCCAGCUACUCAGGAGGCUGAGGUAGGAGAAUCACUUGAACCUGGGAGGUAGAGGUUGCAGUGAGCAGAGAUCACGCCAUUGCACUGCAGCCUGGGGCAAAGAGUGAGACUGUCUCAAAAAAAAAGAAAAAAAAAAAAAAAAGGUAGAGUAUCAAACCAGGUGCAGGAACCUUUGAGUGGUGUCCCUGUGUGUACACAGUCAUACCUCCAGGAAGGUGGUACUGGUUCAAUAUUUUUAUGUAUUAAGUAACUCCUGUUUAGUAACUUUAUAUGUGUUAAGUUAUCUAAUACAGAGAUAAAGAGAGACAGAACUGGAGAGCCGAAUUCUAUUUCCAUACGUGUCAUGGAUUUAUAGUCUGACUUCGAACCCUGGAGUUCUGUUUUCCUACAUGAAAAAUGAAAGAUUUUACCCUGAAUUGUGUUUCACAAACUAUCACAUAUAUUACUGAUAAUACCUAAAUACAUUUUAAUAGUGGUAUUAAUUAUAUCACAUAAAUAGAAAAAAAUUGAAACACAGAAACUGUGCUUUUUCUGUAUAUUCUUUCUUAGCAGGUAGUUAAAAUGAGUAAUAACAAAACAAGGUCAAUUCUAAAGCACUAUUGGAGAAUUAUAAGUACAGGUGAUAUUUAGAUUUUGUAAGAAUCGUGAAGAUUACAUAAAUACAUCUAAAGUUUGGAAAACGUUGCCCAGGAUGAUCCCUAAGGACGCUUUCAGGUCCUUUCGACGUUUUAGGAUUCUAUAAUUGCAUAUCUUUAUACAGAAUUAGGCAUAUUUUUGAUCUGUCAAAUAGGGAGAUUUAAAUAUAUAAUUAAAGGUCAACGUGUUCACACCUUCCAGAAAGACUGGGGUGAGAUGAAUUCCAUAUUUUUGUGUCAUCUACCACCACAAAUUUUAUUUCAUUUCAUAUAAAGAUUAAAAACUGAGAUGUCCCCAUGUACACUCAACACCAUUUAGUACUCAGCCUCCUACUAGCAAGUCAGGGUUGCAAAAAGCCUUCAUGUAACAUUGCUAUCUAUGGUAACUUGAUGUCAAGUCUUUUUCACUUCUGGUUUUCAUGUCUGCUGUGUCUGACACUCUAAAAAAUUCAAAAUAGGUUGUUCUUGAAGAGGAUAAAAAUAGAAGUGAUGGACCGGCACGUUGGCUCACGCCUGUAAUCCCAGCACUUUGGGGGGCUGAGGCAGGUGGAUCAUGAGGUCAGCAGUUCAAGACCAGCCUGGUCAAGAUGGUGAAACCCUGUCUCUACUAAAAAUACAAAAAAUUAGCCGGGUGUGGUGGCAGGCACCUGUAAUCCCAGCUACUAGGGAGGCUGAGGCAGAGAAUUGCUUGAACCCGGGAGGCAGAGGUUGCAAUCAUGCCGUUGCACUGCAGCCGGGGUGGCAGAGUGAGAUUCUGUCUUAAAAAAAAAAAACAAAAA